Molecule: non-coding RNA, 589 nt
Organism: Paralichthys olivaceus (Japanese flounder)
Lineage: Eukaryota; Metazoa; Chordata; Actinopteri; Pleuronectiformes; Paralichthyidae
Source: RefSeq, a predicted model, not a curated record
AAAAAUCGACUGACGCCCACACAGCGAUGGACCAGAGGUAAAUGUCCACAAUAAAAAGCUCAAAUUAAAAGCCAUUUGUCAGCUGAGCCUGGACCAGGACCUGGACAGUGCGUGAGAAAGAAGCGCUAAUGACUCUUAGCUUCGUAAGUUAGCUUGUGAUGACAGCUGUCGGUUCCCAGCAGCUGACAAGCUAACAAGCUAAUGUUGUGACAGAAUGAAUGAGACUGAUCCUCAAGCAACACAAGCAACACAGCAUAUGGAGGCAACAAAGAAGAACACCCUUGUUCCUAGAUGUCAGAGAUCUGCAUGAAGGGUUCCAAGUGUCACUGCUCCAGGGUCACAACCUCUACUGCCUGGCCGUCCAGAGUGACAGUGUUGUCUAUGCGUGUGGCAACAGGUGCCAUGGCAACCUGGACAGGCCGGUUACCCUGUGCAAGGCUGGUCACUACAGUCUGAUACAUGCUGACUGGGAUCUGGACCAAACCUGAGGAAGAGAGCAGAAACGACAGCGACAGGAGGCCAUGUUCCCACCUGGAGCUGGAAAACAGAGACAAAAUGUUCCAGAGCCUGUGGAGCAGAAGGCAGCUCA